This 428-nucleotide ribosomal RNA is filed under the name uncultured Candidatus Planktophila sp. RNAcentral's name for it is "partial 16S ribosomal RNA". It matches the Rfam family "Bacterial small subunit ribosomal RNA", at positions 341 to 783 of the family's 1533-position model. Lineage: Bacteria; Bacillati; Actinomycetota; Actinomycetes; Candidatus Nanopelagicales; Candidatus Nanopelagicaceae. The record is from RNAcentral.
ACUGGAGGCWGCAGGGGGGAAUAUUGGGCAAUGGRCGAAMGCUGACCCAGCGACGCCGCGUGYGUGAUGAAGGCCUUCGGGUUGUAAACCKCUUUCAGCAGGGAAGAAGCKMAAGUGACGGUACCUGCARAAGAAGCACCGGCUAACUAUGUGCCAGCAGCCGCGGUAAUACAUAGGGUGCAAGCGUUGUCCGGAAUUAUUGGGCGUAAAGAGCUCGUAGGYGGUUYGUUACGUCGGAUGUGAAAACCUGAGGCUCAACCUCAGRCCUGCAUUCGAUACGGGCKAACUAGAGUGUGGUAGGGGAGACUGGAAUUCCUGGUGUAGCGGUGGAAUGCGCAGAUAUCAGGAGGAACACCAAUGGCGAAGGCAGGUCUCUGGCCAUUACUGACACUGAGGARCGAAAGCGUGGGGAGCGAACAGGAUUAGCA